Molecule: ribosomal RNA, 395 nt
Filed under: uncultured bacterium
Lineage: Bacteria
Description: bacterial SSU rRNA
Rfam family: Bacterial small subunit ribosomal RNA
Source: RNAcentral
AUUGAACGCUGGCGGCAUGCCUUACACAUGCAAGUCGAACGGUAACGGGCCUUCGGGUGCCGACGAGUGGCGAACGGGUGAGUAAUGUAUCGGAACGUACCUUUCAGUGGGGGAUAACGUAGCGAAAGUUACGCUAAUACCGCAUAUUCUGUGAGCAGGAAAGCAGGGGAUCGCAAGACCUUGCGCUGAUUGAGCGGCCGAUAUCAGAUUAGCUAGUUGGUGAGGUAAAGGCUCACCAAGGCGACGAUCUGUAGCGGGUCUGAGAGGAUGAUCCGCCACACUGGAACUGAGACACGGUCCAGACUCCUACGGGAGGCAGCAGUGGGGAAUUUUGGACAAUGGGGGCAACCCUGAUCCAGCCAUGCCGCGUGAGUGAAGAAGGCCUCGGUGUAAGA